GACGAACGCUGGCGGCGUGCUUAACACAUGCAAGUCGAACGGUAAGGCCCUUCGGGGUACACGAGUGGCGAACGGGUGAGUAACACGUGGGUGAUCUGCCCUGCACUUCGGGAUAAGCCUGGGAAACUGGGUCUAAUACCGGAUAGGACCACUGCCUGCAUGGGUGGUGGUGGAAAGCUUUUGCGGGGUGGGAUGGGCCCGCGGCCUAUCAGCUUGUGGGUGGGGUGAUGGCCUACCAAGGCGACGACGGGUAGCCGGCCUGGGAGGGUGAUCGGCCACACUGGGACUGGGAUACGGACCAGACUCCUACGGGAGGCACCAGUGGGGAAUAUUGCACAAUGGACGAAAGUCUGACUCAGCGACGCCGCGUGAGGGAUGAAGGCCUUCGGGUUGUAAACCUCUUUCAGUAGGGAAGAAGCGAAAGUGACGGUACCUACAGAAGAAGCACCGGCUAACUAUGUGCCAGCCGCCGCAGUAA
This 478-nucleotide ribosomal RNA is filed under the name uncultured bacterium. RNAcentral describes it as "partial 16S ribosomal RNA". It matches the Rfam family "Bacterial small subunit ribosomal RNA", at positions 28 to 523 of the family's 1533-position model. The record is from RNAcentral.